UCCUUCCCCGCCGCUGCCCGGCCUCCUCCCCACCCGCGCCUCCCUCUCCUUCUUCCCCGCUGCCACCCAGACUCCUCCCUUCACGCCCUUCUCCUUCCAACCCUCCGAUCAGAGAAAAGGAGAAGAAGGGGUUGGAUGAGCAAGAAGCAGAAGGACUAGAACAAGAAGAAGGGAAGGGAGGUGGGGCCAUAUGCAUGUCCAUGGAGGGUGGACCUCAUUUACUGUUUGUGGAAAACUACGGCGGUUGGUG
Triticum dicoccoides is the source of this 250-nucleotide long non-coding RNA. RefSeq lists it as uncharacterized. The record is from RefSeq and is a predicted model, not a curated record. Lineage: Eukaryota; Viridiplantae; Streptophyta; Magnoliopsida; Poales; Poaceae. The transcript has 3 exons.